RNAcentral lists this ribosomal RNA (253 nucleotides) under uncultured bacterium. RNAcentral's name for it is "partial 16S ribosomal RNA". It matches the Rfam family "Bacterial small subunit ribosomal RNA", at positions 524 to 776 of the family's 1533-position model. The record is from RNAcentral.
UACGUAGGGUGCGAGCGUUAAUCGGAAUUACUGGGCGUAAAGCGUGCGCAGGCGGUUUUGUAAGCCAGAUGUGAAAGCCCCGGGCUUAACUUGGGAAUGGCCGUUGAAACUGGCGAACUGGAGUGUGGCAGAGGGGGGUGGAAUUCCGCGUGUAGCAGUGAAAUGCGUAGAGAUGCGGAGGAACACCGAUGGCGAAGGCAGCCCCCUGGGCUAACACUGACGCUCAGGCACGAAAGCGUGGGGAGCAAACAGG